GAUGAACGCUGGCGGCGUGCUUAACACAUGCAAGUCGAACGGAAAGGCCCAAGCUUGCUUGGGUACUCGAGUGGCGAACGGGUGAGUAACACGUGGGUGAUCUGCCCUGCACUUCGGGAUAAGCCUGGGAAACUGGGUCUAAUACCGGAUAGGACGAUGUGUUGGAUGCCAUUGUGGAAAGUUUUUUCGGUGUGGGAUGAGCUCGCGGCCUAUCAGCUUGUUGGUGGGGUAAUGGCCUACCAAGGCGUCGACGGGUAGCCGGCCUGAGAGGGUGUACGGCCACAUUGGGACUGAGAUACGGCCCAGACUCCUACGGGAGGCAGCAGUGGGGAAUAUUGCACAAUGGGCGCAAGCCUGAUGCAGCGACGCCGCGUGGGGGAUGACGGCCUUCGGGUUGUAAACUCCUUUCGCUAGGGACGAAGCGUUUUUGUGACGGUACCUGGAGAAGAAGCACCGGCUAACUACGUG
This 468-nucleotide ribosomal RNA is filed under the name uncultured bacterium. Its description in RNAcentral is "partial 16S ribosomal RNA". It matches the Rfam family "Bacterial small subunit ribosomal RNA", at positions 28 to 507 of the family's 1533-position model. The record is from RNAcentral.